This 436-nucleotide ribosomal RNA is filed under the name uncultured Oscillospiraceae bacterium. RNAcentral's name for it is "partial 16S ribosomal RNA". It matches the Rfam family "Bacterial small subunit ribosomal RNA", at positions 341 to 792 of the family's 1533-position model. Lineage: Bacteria; Bacillati; Bacillota; Clostridia; Eubacteriales; Oscillospiraceae. The record is from RNAcentral.
ACGGAAGGCAGCAGUGGGGAAUAUUGGGCAAUGGGGGAAACCCUGACCCAGCAACGCCGCGUGAAGGAAGAAGGCCUUCGGGUUGUAAACUUCUUUUACCAGGGACGAACAAAUGACGGUACCUGGAGAAAAAGCAACGGCUAACUACGUGCCAGCAGCCGCGGUAAUACGUAGGUUGCAAGCGUUGUCCGGAUUUACUGGGUGUAAAGGGCGUGUAGGCGGAGCUGCAAGUCAGAUGUGAAAUCCCAGGGCUCAACCCCGGAACUGCAUUUGAAACUGUAGCCCUUGAGUAUCGGAGAGGCAAGCGGAAUUCCUAGUGUAGCGGUGAAAUGCGUAGAUAUUAGGAGGAACACCAGUGGCGAAGGCGGCUUGCUGGACGACAACUGACGCUGAGGCGCGAAAGCGUGGGGAGCAAACAGGAUUAGAUACCCUGGUA